AUACGGAGGAUCCAAGCGUUAUCCGGAAUCAUUGGGUUUAAAGGGUCCGUAGGCGGGACAAUAAGUCAGCGGUGAAAGUCUGUGGCUCAACCAUAGAAUUGCCAUUGAUACUGUUGUUCUUGAGUGUUUAUGAAGUGGUUGGAAUAUGUAGUGUAGCGGUGAAAUGCAUAGAUAUUACAUAGAACACCGAUUGCGAAGGCAGAUCACUAAUAAAAUACUGACGCUGAUGGACGAAAGCGUAGGUAGCGAACAGGAUUAGAUACCCUGGUAGUCAAGGGCG
Molecule: ribosomal RNA, 280 nt
Filed under: uncultured Flavobacteriales bacterium
Lineage: Bacteria; Pseudomonadati; Bacteroidota; Flavobacteriia; Flavobacteriales
Description: partial 16S ribosomal RNA
Rfam family: Bacterial small subunit ribosomal RNA
Source: RNAcentral